UAAAAAAUUUUGGCGGUAUUUUAAGCUUAUUAGAGGAAUUUGCUCUGUGAUGGACACAACGCCUUAAUCUUACUUAAUUUAGUAAUUUAAAUCAGUUUGUAUACCACUAUAUUAAUUAUAUUGAAUAGUUAUUUUUAAAAUUUUUUUUUGAAAAAUAUAUUAAGUCAAGGUGCAUCUAAUAAUUAUGAAUGAAGUGAAUUACAUUAAUUUUAAUGUAAUUUUUUACAUGAAAAAAUUAAUUAGGAUUUAAUAGUAAAAUACUAAUAUUAUGAGUAUUUGAAUCAAGCUCUAAAAUAUGCACAUAUCGCCCGUCGCUCUCAGAAGUGAGAUAAGUCGUAACAAAGUAAAAAUACUGGAAAGUGUUUUUUAAAAUGAAAUCAUUCGAUGUUUCAUUUACAAUGAAAAUUUUGUUGUUUAACCAUUUUAA
RNAcentral lists this ribosomal RNA (427 nucleotides) under Ixodes scapularis (black-legged tick). Its description in RNAcentral is "partial 12S ribosomal RNA". Lineage: Eukaryota; Metazoa; Arthropoda; Arachnida; Ixodida; Ixodidae. The record is from RNAcentral.